Molecule: non-coding RNA, 94 nt
Filed under: Tumebacillus sp.
Lineage: Bacteria; Bacillati; Bacillota; Bacilli; Caryophanales; Alicyclobacillaceae
Description: c-di-GMP sequence
Rfam family: c-di-GMP-I riboswitch aptamer
About the family: GEMM was predicted in a large-scale screen for bacterial structured RNA regulatory elements. Genes associated with GEMM are involved in a diverse array of functions, including chemotaxis regulation, signal transduction, secretion and chitin.
Source: RNAcentral
CACACGAAACGGCAAACCGUUCGAAAGGACGGGACGCAAAGCUACGGGCCUACAGCGAGAACGAUCAACACGCCAUGGCAGCCGGGUUGCCGAA